GUUCCUCUCCGCCCUCCGUGGCGUAGACGGCAAAUUGCAUCAUCUGCCCCGGCGGUCUGGGGUCCCCACUCGACGGUGUUCUCCCGGGGGACGCCACCCUGCCAGGCCCCCCCCUGCCGAGGGGUGACUAUGUGUCCUGUCACCCACUUUCCACCCUUAGCACUCACCACAGUCUGGAACUGUUCUGCUCCUUUUGUCGACUUGCUUGUAUGUUGGUUCUUACUCAGUUAUUGUCCUUUCCCUAGACUUAGGGGAUUUUUUUUUGGCCGGAAGUCAGGUCUCAAAUUAAUUGAUAAGUUUCCCCUGUCUUUUUUUUUUUUAAUGUUUAUUUAAAUUAAAAAAAAAAUUUUAGUGUUUUUAUUUAUUUUUGAGAGAGAGAGACAGAGUGUAAAUGGGGGAGGGGCAGAGGGAGAGGGAGACACAGAAUCCAAAGCAGGCUCCGGGCUUCGAUCUGUCAGCACAGAGCCCGAUGCGGGGCUCGAACUCCUGGAUGGCGACAUCAUGACCUGAGCCCAAGUCGGACGCUUAACCGACUGAGCCACCCAGGCGCCCCUCCAUCUGUCUUUUUCAAGAUGAGGUCGUGAAUGACAGGUUCAGAAUGCCAAGGGCAGACAGCAUUCUGGGGUUUCUGAUGUCCGUUUGCUGUCUGCUCAGGGUGGCAUUAAGUAGUCCUCAAUCCCCACCUGCACUGCUCCCCAAGCCCCUGGUGUGGGGACUAGCCUCUCCUCACAUUGUCUCGUGAUUUGAGAAGAGCACGAGAUGUCCUGUGUUCUAGAGAAGACGGGCAGGAAGUAUUCCCAGUGAAGCUCCGUGGACACAUGCCCUUUGGGCUGUGACCCGCCUGCCUCUUUGAUGCCAGAGAUGACGGCUCAACUCUGUAUCUUUCCUUCAGGAGCUAGGUGGUAGGCCUCUCUAAUAGGUCAUCGAAGAAUCACAAAUAACGAGCGCAUCGGAGGAACUCUCGUAAUAAAAAGCAGACAACAAAAGCUGCCGUCUCGAAAGCUCUGCUGUGUUCUGUUCCUCUGUAAGAGCAGAAGUGAAGUCGUCCCUGGGAAUGAAAUGGCUCAUUUUAGCCGGACUACCUGUUCCCAGUCGAGGCCAGCUCCUCCCGUGGCCUGCUUCCGCCGCAGGCCACGUGUCCCUUCCUAGGAGGCGAAGGAAUCGGCAGUACCCAGCGCAGGGCCGGCGUACGCGAGGGGCGAGUGGGCAGAGGGCGGGUCAGGGGUCCGGGCUGGCGCGAGUGGUGGCUGGGACUUGGGUGGUUGGGGAAAGGGGCUGAGUGGAUCCGGGGAGUCGGGUAACAGGAUUUGCCUGAUGGAUUGAGUAUGUCGUAGUGGGGACGUGGUGAAGGAAAGGAAGGGUAGCCUGGAGGACCAGGGCUGCCGUGAUUCGAAUUUUACUGCCCAGAUUCUUAGAGGAUUCACUCCGACUCCGGUCUCCCGUUCCUCAGGGCCCCACGGGGUCCCGGUUCCCACUGAAGACUCUCAUUGUUCCACCCGGAGUCACUGAUGCCUCCCGAGUGCAAGUCGAGUGACGUCUGUUCAGUCCCAACUUGACUUGACUAGGUGGCAUUCAGUGCGCCCCAUCGUACCCUCUUCUUCUUUACAACGAAACAAACUCUUCCUCCUGUUAAAUACAAAAGGAAUACAGGCUUCGCUCGUUUUUUUUUUUUAAUUUUUAAAUUUUUAAUUUUUUUUUAAAGUUUAUUUAUUUUUGAGAGAGAGACAGAGUGAGAGGAGGAGGGGGGCAGAGAGAGAGGGAGGGAGAGAGAAUCCCAAGGAGGCUCCACAUUGUCAGCACGGAGCCCCUUGUGGGGCUUGAACUCACGAACCGCAAGAUCAUGUCCCGAUCCCCAGGAAUAUAGGCUUCUUAAGAAAAGAGAGAAGACCCCAAAGAAUAAAUACUUAGAUUUUCCAUACCCCACUAUUUAGAGAUAACCUUUGGGGCGCCUGGGUGGCUCAGUGGGUUAAGCGUCCGACUCUUAGUUUCAGCUCAGGUCCUGAUCUCACAGUUUCAUGAGUUCAAGUCCCACAUCCAGCUCUGCACUUGCCUCACAGAUCCUGCUUGGGAUUCUCUCUCUCUCUCUCUCUCUCUCUCUGCCCCUCCCCCAUUCGUACCCCCACAAGCGCAAUCUCUCUCUCUCUCAAAACAAACUUAAAAAAAAAAUAGGGUUUAUGCCUGUAUGUUUAUGCCCAUUCUGUAGUGUUUUAUUUGUUUUGGCCCUUUUCCCCUUAAAACCUGUAUUACUUUUAGAAUUGGGAGAAAAAAGCAUUUCACUUUACAAGCCUUUGUAACACAGCAGUUACACUCUUAGACCUCUUCCCUAAGGAAAUAAUGAGAAACUGCACAAAAAUACAUCAGAAUCAUCACACAAAAAGUGUGGAAUCCUGAGACCCUAAGGCGGCAUUCGUAGGCUGGAACAGCAUGCAGUUACUAAACUGUGACGCACAAGCAUACCGAUGUGAGAAAAUGUCACACGGUGUUGUCACAAACCGUGAGAUCAUGACCUGAGCUGAAACUCAGAGUCAGAUGCUGAACCGACUGAGCCCCCCAGGCGCCCCCCAGGCACAAACACUAUUAACAUAUUGACAGUUUCGAGUUUUCCUUAAAAACGCAUCUCGUUUGACGUAUAUUGCCAGAUUUCUCCGCAGCUUUGGUUGCCCCUAAAUGACGUCCCAGCAGCCUGUAAAGUACCAGUAAAGUGCUUCGUGGCCCCAUUCGUCCGUGCCUUAUACCCUCGUGGCAUACGUAUGUAGCUGCCACGUAGCACCCACGAUAAGGACGUGAAAACUGUCACAGGGCAUGGCUUUUUAAGAAGGCAGAGGUUUAUACUUGCGUAUUAGCUCUCACCCGGCAGCGGGAACCCUGUCAUCCUGCCUUUGUUACUUUGUCGCAUCUUUGAGGACAUUAGUGGGUGAAUAAGGGCUGUGGGUACGUAGAGCCAUAUGGAACAGAAGGAAGAGAGGACACAGUGCCGAAGAGUCCAGCCGACCUGGACUGAGCGUUCUGGCUUUGCAUUCCCCACCUUGGGCAGGUUACCUGAGCGGCCAAGCUCCCUUUCCCUGCCUGGAACUGGGGGCGAUGGUGACUUUGUACAGUGGGGUUGUGGCGGGAGCGAACACAGUGUGGUCUUUGGUAUCAGUGACAGCCACUGCCGGAGAGCGGCAGGUCCUGGCUCGACUCCUGGGAAGCGUCCUGUUUUGUCUUCUUGUUAAUGUUUAUUUUGUUUUGAGAGAGAGAGCGUGAGCGGGGUCGGAACAGAGAGAGGGGGGCAGAGGGAGAACCCCAAGUGGGCUCUGUACCAUCAGCACAGAGCCUGACGCCGGGCUCGAUGCCACGAACCGCGACAUCAUAACCUGAGCCGAAACCGAGUCGGACGCUCAACCGGCUGAGCCACCCAGGCGCCCCGGAAAGCGGCCUGUCUGACAGGGAGGUUCACCUUGCUGGGGGUCCUGGGGGCGCUGGGAGCAAUUUCCCGGAAGAGCCACUCGCGCUGAGAAGCGAGAGGGGGGCGUCCCCGGCGGCAGGAGCUUUGUGGCUUUCUUGUGGCUUGUGUCACCUCCAGCGGAGCCUGUUUU
Neofelis nebulosa (Clouded leopard) is the source of this 3578-nucleotide long non-coding RNA. RefSeq lists it as uncharacterized. The record is from RefSeq and is a predicted model, not a curated record. The transcript has 3 exons. NCBI's taxonomy places the organism in Eukaryota, Metazoa, Chordata, Mammalia, Carnivora, Felidae.